Molecule: long non-coding RNA, 415 nt
Filed under: Brassica napus (rape)
Lineage: Eukaryota; Viridiplantae; Streptophyta; Magnoliopsida; Brassicales; Brassicaceae
Description: long non-coding RNA (BNAP_LNC001969)
Source: RNAcentral
UUGUUGAAGAAAAAACAAGAAAAAAUAAUUGGAAGUUAAAAAAGGACAUAGUGACGGCUGACAUAGUAAUUACCGUUUAAUGCUGCAUCGAAAUCAGAUUGAUUUUCGUUAGAAUUCAGCAUCAGAGACUCAUGAUUAGGGUUGCACAUACAACUACAUAGCAACGAAUACGACAUAAUGAUUAAGGAUGAUACUUAAUGACAAGGGUAAGAUAAAUUAAAACGUGAAAACGAUGACCCAUCAAACGGUCACGAAAACACUCAAUCAAAUUGAUUUCUUUUUAGUUUAACCAAUAUUUUUUCCUUUUUGUUUAAAAAUGUUUGACCAAAUUGUUAUGGGCUCAAUGCUUUAAUCACCAUGGCAAUGGCCAAUGGUCCUAGAAGAACUUGAUUAAUGUGUUCUUACCCAACAUCAU